GAUGAACGCUGGCGGCAUGCUUUACACAUGCAAGUCGGACGGGAAGUGGUGUUUCCAGUGGCGGACGGGGGAGUAGCGCGUAAGAACCUGCCCUUGGGAGGGGAACAACGGCUGUAACCGGCUGCUAAUACCCCUUAUGCUGCGGAGCGAAAGGAGGAAUCCGCCCAAGGAGGGGCUCGCGUCUGCUUACCUAGUUGGUGAGGUAAUAGCUUACCAAGGCCGUGAUCAUUAGAUGGUCCGAGAGGAUGAUCAGCCACACUGGGACUGAGACAAGGCCCAGACUCUUAUGGGCGACAGGAGUAGGGAAGUUUCCGCAAUGGGCGAAAGCCUAACGGGGCAAUGCGGUGUGGAGGUAAAAGGCCUAGGGGUCAAGAGCUUCCUUUCCUGGCGAAGAAACAAUGACGGUACCGUGAGAAUAAGCACCGGCUAACUCCGUG
Molecule: ribosomal RNA, 437 nt
Filed under: uncultured bacterium
Lineage: Bacteria
Description: partial 16S ribosomal RNA
Rfam family: Bacterial small subunit ribosomal RNA
Source: RNAcentral